AUCUCGGUACAGCUCCAAACCAAGGAAGCCCCAACGGGGCAGAGAUCCCAGGCAGUGACGGGACAGGGAGCCAGGUCUGCGUCUUUGAUGUCUCGGCUCAAGUGCAGAGGAAGGAAGUGCAAACGGUCGAAUCGGCGGUGGAUACGGGCAGUUAGCGGACCUCCUGGACCCCAGCAGUUGUGCCUAGCGCAGACGUCUCUGUUCAACUCCACGCAAUUCCUUACUGGAACUCCACACAGCCUCGGUGCUACUCAACGCCACCAGGGAGUGUCCAAUGUCUCUUGCUACCCACAGCAGCAACAUUAUUACUAUGCAAUGGUCAUGAGCAGUGCUGCUAGGUAGCCACGAGUGUGAACACGGAGGUCGUGUUUAUCGUUGUCAAGGCUGAGCGGGUGAUGGUGACGAUGGGCGGAAUGGGAGAAACGCCAACCCCCUACCGCUGUUACAACCCAGUCCUGGACAGGAGAGGCCAGGGACGACCAACAGCGUCCAUCAGGGAGUGUCAAUGUCUCUCGCUACCCACAGCAGCAGCAUUCUUUAUUAUCAAUGGCAAUGAGCCGUGCUCUGUAGCCACGCGUGAGCAUCAUGGAGGUUGUGUUUUAUUAUUGUCAAGGCUGAGCGGGUGGUGGUGAUGGGGAAUCGGACACGCUGGCAUCCGUUCCUGCCCCCCCCAACUUUGAGAAAGAUGUCUCUGGGCGAGUUCUCAACCCAGGACCCCAGCAGUUGUGCCUAGCGCAGACGUCUCUGUUCAACUCCACGCAAUUCCUUACUGGAACUCCACACAGCCUCGUUGCUACUCAACGCAACUUUGAUGCAACGUCAACACCGUCCAUCAGGGAGUGUCAAUGUCUCUUGCUACCCACAGCAGCAACAUUAUUACUAUGCAAUGGUCAUGAGCAGUGCUGCUAGGUAGCCACGAGUGUACACGGAGGUUGUGUUUAUCAUUGUCAAGGCUGAGCGGGUGGUGGUGGUGGUGGUGAUGGGGAAUCUGACACGCUGGCAUCCGUUCCUGCCACCCCCAACUUUGAGAAAGAUGUCCCUGGGCGAGUUCUCAACCCAUGUAACCGUGCGAGUCUCCAGCCCGAUCCUCGGCCUUGCUCACCAAACGAGCGAUGUGGAUGUCUAUUUGAGGUUUGUUGACGUUUUGGUGUUCUUAAUUGGCCACGCAGGGAAAUGUUGUCAGCAGGACUUUGUGAAAGUUUUAAUCAAGGCACAACUUGAAACCUAAUUAGCGAAUAAGCACGGCAUGAAGUUUACGUCAUGUGACCUGAUGAUUGAAAUUAAUGUUUUCCUACGGCUGUCCCGAAAGAGU
Molecule: non-coding RNA, 1312 nt
Organism: Petromyzon marinus (sea lamprey)
Lineage: Eukaryota; Metazoa; Chordata; Hyperoartia; Petromyzontiformes; Petromyzontidae
Source: RefSeq, a predicted model, not a curated record